GGCAGAUAAGUUAGGAGCAGGUAUGUUGGCAUGUAUCAGGGGCAGAUAAGUUAGGAGCAGGUAUGUUGGCAUGUAUCAGGGGCAGAUAAGUUAGGAGCAGGUAUGUUGGCAUGUAUCAGGGGCAGAUAAGUUAGGAGCAGGUAUGUUGGCAUGUAUCAGGGGCAGGUAAGUUAGGAGCAGGUAUGUUGGCAUGUAUCAGGGGCAGGUAAGUUAGGAGCAGGUAUGUUGGCAUGUAUCAGGGGCAGGUAAGUUAGGAGCAGGUAUGUUGGCCUCAUGUUCUGGCUGCAAGUCAUCUGGUGACUGAGGUGGUGUGUUUCCUGAUAGGUUGGUCUCAUGUUC
Long non-coding RNA from Oncorhynchus tshawytscha (Chinook salmon), 339 nucleotides. The record is from Ensembl. NCBI's taxonomy places the organism in Eukaryota, Metazoa, Chordata, Actinopteri, Salmoniformes, Salmonidae.